GAUGAACGCUGGCGGCGUGCCUAAUACAUGCAAGUCGAGCGAACAGAUGAGGAGCUUGCUCCUCUGACGUUAGCGGCGGACGGGUGAGUAACACGUGGAUAACCUACCUAUAAGACUGGGAUAACUUCGGGAAACCGGAGCUAAUACCGGAUAAUAUAUUGAACCGCAUGGUUCAAUAGUGAAAGACGGUUUUGCUGUCACUUAUAGAUGGAUCCGCGCCGCAUUAGCUAGUUGGUAAGGUAACGGCUUACCAAGGCAACGAUGCGUAGCCGACCUGAGAGGGUGAUCGGCCACACUGGAACUGAGACACCGUCCAGACUCCUACGGGAGGCAGCAGUAGGGAAUCUUCCGCAAUGGGCGAAAGCCUGACGGAGCAACGCUGCGUGAGUGAUGAAGGUCUUCGGAUCGUAAAACUCUGUUAUUAGGGAAGAACAAAUGUGUAAGUAACUAUGCACGUCUUGACGGUACCUAAUCAGAAAGCCACGGCUAACUACGUG
This 497-nucleotide ribosomal RNA is filed under the name uncultured bacterium. RNAcentral describes it as "partial 16S ribosomal RNA". It matches the Rfam family "Bacterial small subunit ribosomal RNA", at positions 28 to 507 of the family's 1533-position model. The record is from RNAcentral.